RNAcentral lists this long non-coding RNA (1982 nucleotides) under Capra hircus (goat). RNAcentral's name for it is "lncRNA (ENSCHIG00010015644.1)". The record is from RNAcentral. Lineage: Eukaryota; Metazoa; Chordata; Mammalia; Artiodactyla; Bovidae.
UUACUUUUCAAUGUUUUCAUAUUUCCUAAGAAAGUACUAGAUUAUUAAGAAAUUUGUUAAUUACAUGAACCAAAGUUCAGUAAUCCUAGUCUCAAAGGUUUAACUGAAGCAUAAUUAAAUCUUCAAAAUGUUGAUUUUCAUAGAGACAUAGAGUGAUUUGCUUUUUUUUUUUAAGCUUUUGUAAAAUUAUUUAUCCCAAAAUUCAUGUUGGGAUAUAGUUUCUUUAAAGCCCAGAUUACCUGCCCUAGACUUAAAAUUAUUGUGAUUGAGGUGGAGAGGUAUUCUCAGAAUCAGAAAGCAUACAAAAAUUUUUUGUCCUGAUAAAGAGGCCAAUGAUUACUGAUGAGAACUAACAUUCUUGAACAGUGAUAUAAGAAAUGGUUACUUUGAAUUGGAUGUUUAUAAAUAGAGAGUGAAAUGUUAUAAUAAAAGACUNNNCAAAGCAAAACCAAAUAAAAGCAAAAGCCAUAUUCACAUCCUGUUGUUCUCCUUUCUGUGCUCGUGGAAAUCGUGCCUACGCAGCCCUUUACUUCUUUCCUCUCUCGGAUGCUGUCUUAAUCCAGGCUCUCAUCACUUCCUGCCCCAAACCUGGUUUUCAGACUUCCAUUUUAAAAUCACAGCAUACUUUCCUCAAAGUCUAUAUGGAAAUCCAGUUCAUAAACAGAAAACUGCUUUACCUGGACCAGGGUGAGGGCUGGUUCCCAGUGGCCUCACCCCUUGCCUCCGUCAUUCAUUCAUUCAAUAUAGUAAUUGAAAACCACUGGUCUAGUCUAUCAGCUUAACUUCCUAAUUGGGCCUCCUGCUUGGAGUCACUUGUCUCUAUCAUAUUCUGCCCAUCCUGUUAGUAGGACUACAUUUCUAAAACUCAGAUCUGAUCUCGUCACUGCCCUUUUCAGAAACUUUCAAUUCUGUCCUUACUGUGUGUGAUGUCUUGACUCUAUGGUGUCAGCCACAUCGGAGCCUUUACCAAGGAAAAGGAUCUAGAUAGAAGCUAUAACAGUUGAUUUUAUAUUUGCAAAUGAUGCAACCAUCAGGGCUUAAUUUUCAAAAUAAACAGCUCAUACAACUCAAUAACAAAAUAACAAACAACACAAUUUAAAAAUGGGCAGACGACCUAAAUAGAUACUUCUCCGAAAAAAGACAUACAGAUGGCCAACAGGCACAUGAAAAGAUGCUUAUCAUCGCUAAUUUUAGAGAAAUGCAAAUCAAAACUACAGUGAGGUACCACCUCACACUGGUUAGAAUGGCCAUCACAAAAAAAGUCUACAAACAAUAAAUGCUCUGGAGAGGGUGUGGAGAAAAGGGAACCCUCCUACACUGUUGAUGGGGAUGUAAGUUGGUGCAGUUACUAUGGAGAAGAGUGUGGAGGUUCCUUAAAAGAACUAAAAGUAGAGCUCCCCUAUCACCCAGCAAUGCCACUCCUGGGCACACACCUAGACAAAACCAUAACUAGAAAAGAUACGAGCACCCCUGGGUUUAUGGCAGCACUAUUCACAGUAGCCAAGAUAUGGAAGCAACCUAAAUGUCCAUCGACAGAAAAUGCAGUACAUAUUUACCAGUAAUAGAAUAUUACUCAGCCAUAAAAAAGAAUGAAAUAAAGCCAUGCCAUUUACAGCAACAUGCGUAGACCUAGAGAUCUUCAUACUAAGUGAAGUCAGAAAGAGAAAGACAAAUACCAUGUGCUAUCACUCAUAUGUGGAGUCCAAAAUAAAACACAAGUGGACUUAUCCAUGAAACAGACUCAGACAUAGAGAGAUUUGUGGUUGCCAAAGGAGAGGGGAGAGUCAGGGAGCGAAGGACUGGGAGUUUGGGAUUGGCAGAUGCAAACUGUGAUACAGAGAAUGGAUUAACAACAAAGUCCUACUGUAAGCACGGGGAGCUAUAUUCAAUAUCCUGUGAUAAACCAUAACGGAAAAGAAUAUAAAAGAAGAAUAUAUGUGUAUAUAUAUAUAUAUGAAUAAUUAAAUCAUUUUGCUGUAUAG